GCCUUCGUGGUGUAGUGGUCAGCACGCUCGGAGCGUAAUUGAAAGGUCCGUGGUUCGAGUCCCGGCGAGGACA
This 73-nucleotide transfer RNA is filed under the name Stegodyphus mimosarum. It matches the Rfam family "tRNA". Rfam says of the family: Transfer RNA (tRNA) molecules are approximately 80 nucleotides in length. The record is from Rfam by way of RNAcentral. Lineage: Eukaryota; Metazoa; Arthropoda; Arachnida; Araneae; Eresidae.